Long non-coding RNA from Cannabis sativa, 1226 nucleotides. RefSeq lists it as uncharacterized. NCBI's taxonomy places the organism in Eukaryota, Viridiplantae, Streptophyta, Magnoliopsida, Rosales, Cannabaceae. The record is from RefSeq and is a predicted model, not a curated record. The transcript has 4 exons.
UUUCUUUUCUCUCUCUCGAUUUCCAUUUGAAAUUUGAAAAUUUCUUUAUUUUUUGGGUAAAAGUUUGCAGAGAGAGAAAAUAGACCAUAUCGUCUCUCUUUUCUUCUCUAAGUCCUCCUAGGGUUUCAUUUCAUUUACGCAAUCUCACUCACUAAGAAGUUCGAUCCAAGGUCUCUCUCUCUCUCUCUCUCUCUCUCUCUCUCUCUCUCUCUCCAUGGAGUUUUUUAGUUAUGUAGAUAUAGAUAUAUACAUGUUGAUGUUGAUGUUGAGAUUCGGAUAUAUAGUUUGAUUUUGAUAGCAGAGAAGUUGUUUAAUUUCAGAUUGAAUUUGAUUUCCAAUUUUUCGAUAGUUUUAAUAUUUAGUUGAAAAAGCCAGUUAGCACAGAGGAAGAAGCUCACGACAUGCUAAGUUACACAUUUGAGUGUGGGAUCAAUGCCCUAGACACUGCCAAAGCUUACCCAAUUCCAAUGAAAAAGGAGACACAAGGAAGAACUGAUGUCUUUAUUAGUAGCUGGCUCAAGUCUCAACCCCGUAAUAAGGUUCUAGCAUUGUCUUUUCAAGAAGCUCUGUUUAACCAAUAUGUGGUUGAAACACUCUCUGGUCCCCCAAAGUAUCACAUGAAAGAAGAUCAUUUAAAGGCUGUUGCUGUGGUUAGGGAGUUUCAGAAGAUCAUUGUCUCUUAACGAUACGAAAACAGCAGUGGAUGAGCUUCACAAUAUGGUGUCAGUGCUUGUAGGAUUCAUAAUUAAUUGUGAUAAUCUCACUUCAUGCAUUUUCUUGUCUUCAUAAGCUCACACCUUCUUCUGACUGUUUUUAUCUUUGGCAAUACAUGCAUAACAGAAUUUGAAGCUAUCAUUUUCUUAUUCAUAGUCCACCCCUUUGAUGUAGGUGAUCGUUGUGAAGUGGACGGAGUUUAGGGACCAAAUAUUGAGGUGAAGUUCAGCAAGCUAACCUCAAUGUUCUUUGUGCACUCUCAAAGCCAUUAAGAGCAAUAUUGCAGGAUAAUUCAUACUAGUCUCCUCCUCUUGCAAGUUGCAAAAUGUUGAAGUACGAGAAUACUUUUUUUUAUUAUUAAUUUCACUACAAAAGAGAUAUUUGUAUGUAUAGAUACCAUUCUAUUAUUGUUUCAAUAAUAGAAAUUACCUUUUUAUGUUAUACAAAGAUAUUUCUAUGUAAUUAUAAAAAAAUUUGAAUAAUGAAAUUAUAAAAUUUGCAAGUUCUAAAUA